AGCUUUGCACAGUGGCAGUAUCAUAGCCAAUGAGGUUUAUCUGAGGCAUGAUUAUUGCUAAUAAAUGCAGCUUAAUCAAUCUGGAGACUGCAUGGAAAGCUAUAAUAAUCUAUCAGUUACCCUGUAA
Molecule: small nuclear RNA, 127 nt
Filed under: Canis lupus dingo (dingo)
Lineage: Eukaryota; Metazoa; Chordata; Mammalia; Carnivora; Canidae
Description: U4 spliceosomal RNA (ENSCAFG00020011203.1)
Rfam family: U4 spliceosomal RNA (bases 1-65)
About the family: U4 small nuclear RNA (U4 snRNA) is a component of the major U2-dependent spliceosome.
Source: RNAcentral